AUUCGUAAUGCGAAGGUCGUAGGUUCGACUCCUAUUAUCGGCACCAUU
RNAcentral lists this unclassified non-coding RNA (48 nucleotides) under Escherichia coli. Lineage: Bacteria; Pseudomonadati; Pseudomonadota; Gammaproteobacteria; Enterobacterales; Enterobacteriaceae. The record is from RNAcentral.